Molecule: ribosomal RNA, 620 nt
Filed under: uncultured Marmoricola sp.
Lineage: Bacteria; Bacillati; Actinomycetota; Actinomycetes; Propionibacteriales; Nocardioidaceae
Description: bacterial SSU rRNA
Rfam family: Bacterial small subunit ribosomal RNA
Source: RNAcentral
UUGUAAACCUCUUUCAGCAGGGACGAAGCGAAAGUGACGGUACCUGCAGAAGAAGCACCGGCCAACUACGUGCCAGCAGCCGCGGUAAUACGUAGGGUGCGAGCGUUGUCCGGAAUUAUUGGGCGUAAAGGGCUCGUAGGCGGUUUGUCGCGUCGGAAGUGAAAACUCAGGGCUUAACCCUGAGCCUGCUUCCGAUACGGGCAGACUAGAGGUAUGCAGGGGAGAAUGGAAUUCCUGGUGUAGCGGUGAAAUGCGCAGAUAUCAGGAGGAACACCGGUGGCGAAGGCGGUUCUCUGGGCAUUACCUGACGCUGAGGAGCGAAAGUGUGGGGAGCGAACAGGAUUAGAUACCCUGGUAGUCCACACCGUAAACGUUGGGCGCUAGGUGUGGGACUCAUUCCACGAGUUCCGUGCCGCAGCUAACGCAUUAAGCGCCCCGCCUGGGGAGUACGGCCGCAAGGCUAAAACUCAAAGGAAUUGACGGGGGCCCGCACAAGCGGCGGAGCAUGCGGAUUAAUUCGAUGCAACGCGAAGAACCUUACCUGGGUUUGACAUAUACGAGAAGCCUCUAGAGAUAGAGGUCUCUUUGGACACUCGUAUACAGGUGGUGCAUGGCUGUCG